This 503-nucleotide ribosomal RNA is filed under the name uncultured bacterium. RNAcentral describes it as "partial 16S ribosomal RNA". It matches the Rfam family "Bacterial small subunit ribosomal RNA", at positions 30 to 523 of the family's 1533-position model. The record is from RNAcentral.
AUUGAACGCUGGCGGCAGGCUUAACACAUGCAAGUCGAGCGGAGUGAUGGUGCUUGCACUAUCACUUAGCGGCGGACGGGUGAGUAAUGCUUAGGAAUCUGCCUAUUAGUGGGGGACAACAUCUCGAAAGGGAUGCUAAUACCGCAUACGUCCUACGGGAGAAAGCAGGGGAUCACUUGUGACCUUGCGCUAAUAGAUGAGCCUAAGUCGGAUUAGCUAGUUGGUGGGGUAAAGGCCUACCAAGGCGACGAUCUGUAGCGGGUCUGAGAGGAUGAUCGGCCAGACGGGGACUGCGACACGGCCCAGACUCCUACGGGGGGAAGCAGUGGGGAAUAUUGGACAAUGGGGGGAACCCUGAUCCAGCCAUGCCGCGUGUGUGAAGAAGGCCUUAUGGUUGUAAAGCACUUUAAGCGAGGAGGAGGCUCUUUUGGUUAAUACCCAAGAUGAGUGGACGUUACUCGCAGAAUAAGCACCGGCUAACUCUGUGCCAGCCGCCGCCGUAA